GACGAACGCUGGCGGCGUGCUUAACACAUGCAAGUCGAACAAUGAACCGGUUUCGGCCGGGGAUUAGUGGCGAACGGGUGAGUAACACGUGGGCAAUCUGCCCUGCACUCUGGGAUAAGCCCGGGAAACUGGGUCUAAUACCGGAUACGACACUCCGAGGCAUCUUGGGGUGUGGAAAGUUCCGGCGGUGCAGGAUGAGCCCGCGGCCUAUCAGCUUGUUGGUGGGGUAAUGGCCUACCAAGGCGACGACGGGUAGCCGGCCUGAGAGGGUGACCGGCCACACUGGGACUGAGACACGGCCCAGACUCCUACGGGAGGCAGCAGUGGGGAAUAUUGCACAAUGGGCGAAAGCCUGAUGCAGCGACGCCGCGUGAGGGAUGACGGCCUUCGGGUUGUAAACCUCUUUCAGCAGGGAAGAAGCGAAAGUGACGGUACCUGCAGAAGAAGCACCGGCUAACUACGUG
RNAcentral lists this ribosomal RNA (464 nucleotides) under uncultured bacterium. Its description in RNAcentral is "partial 16S ribosomal RNA". It matches the Rfam family "Bacterial small subunit ribosomal RNA", at positions 28 to 507 of the family's 1533-position model. The record is from RNAcentral.